This 142-nucleotide small RNA is filed under the name Desulforamulus reducens. RNAcentral describes it as "Desulfotomaculum reducens c-di-AMP sequence". It matches the Rfam family "c-di-AMP riboswitch aptamer (ydaO/yuaA leader)". Rfam says of the family: This family represents a conserved RNA structure found upstream of the ydaO and yuaA genes in Bacillus subtilis and related genes in other bacteria. Lineage: Bacteria; Bacillati; Bacillota; Clostridia; Eubacteriales; Peptococcaceae. RNAcentral also lists the same sequence under 1 other name. The record is from RNAcentral.
UGUAAAUAAUAGCUUAAUCCUGUAAAUAUAUGGGAACGGAGGACCCGACUUUUGGGGUGAGUCCGGUUUUUAACGCCGGUAGGGUUUUAACCUUUCGGCCCGAACCCGUCAGCUAACUUCGUAGGCUUUAAAGAAAGGGGAG